AGCGGGGUAGAGCAGUCUGGCAGCUCGCUUGGCUCAUAACCAAGAGGUCGGUGGUUCAAAUCCACCCCCCGCAACAA
RNAcentral lists this transfer RNA (77 nucleotides) under Candidatus Moraniibacteriota bacterium. RNAcentral's name for it is "Candidatus Moranbacteria bacterium tRNA-Met". It matches the Rfam family "tRNA". Rfam says of the family: Transfer RNA (tRNA) molecules are approximately 80 nucleotides in length. Their secondary structure includes four short double-helical elements and three loops (D, anti-codon, and T loops). The record is from RNAcentral. Lineage: Bacteria; Candidatus Moraniibacteriota.